RNAcentral lists this transfer RNA (71 nucleotides) under Cynogale bennetti (Otter civet). RNAcentral's name for it is "tRNA-Gly". It matches the Rfam family "tRNA". Rfam says of the family: Transfer RNA (tRNA) molecules are approximately 80 nucleotides in length. The record is from RNAcentral. Lineage: Eukaryota; Metazoa; Chordata; Mammalia; Carnivora; Viverridae.
GCUUCUUUAGUAUUAAUUAGUACAACUGACUUCCAAUCAGUUAGUUUCGGUAUUAAAUCCGAAAAGAAGUA